UGGGGAAUUUUGGACAAUGGGGGCAACCCUGAUCCAGCAAUGCCGCGUGAGUGAAGAAGGCCUUCGGGUUGUAAAGCUCUUUUGUCCGGGAAGAAACGGUUCGAUCUAAUACAUUGGACUAAUGACGGUACCGGAAGAAUAAGCACCGGCUAACUACGUGCCAGCAGCCGCGGUAAUACGUAGGGUGCGAGCGUUAAUCGGAAUUACUGGGCGUAAAGCGUGCGCAGGCGGUUUGGUAAGACAGAUGUGAAAUCCCCGGGCUUAACCUGGGAAUUGCAUUUGUGACUGCCCGGCUAGAGUGUGUCAGAGGGGGGUAGAAUUCCACGUGUAGCAGUGAAAUGCGUAGAUAUGUGGAGGAAUACCGAUGGCGAAGGCAGCCCCCUGGGAUAACACUGACGCUCAUGCACGAAAGCGUGGGGAGCAAACAGGAUUAGAUACCCCUGUAGUCC
Molecule: ribosomal RNA, 449 nt
Filed under: uncultured bacterium
Lineage: Bacteria
Description: bacterial SSU rRNA
Rfam family: Bacterial small subunit ribosomal RNA
Source: RNAcentral